UUAACACAUGCAAGUCGAGGGGCAGCAUGAACUUAGCUUGCUAAGUUUGAUGGCGACCGGCGCACGGGUGAGUAACACGUAUCCAACCUGCCGAUGACUCGGGGAUAGCCUUUCGAAAGAAAGAUUAAUACCCGAUGGCAUAGUUCUUCCGCAUGGUAGAACUAUUAAAGAAUUUCGGUCAUCGAUGGGGAUGCGUUCCAUUAGGUUGUUGGCGGGGUAACGGCCCACCAAGCCUUCGAUGGAUAGGGGUUCUGAGAGGAAGGUCCCCCACAUUGGAACUGAGACACGGUCCAAACUCCUACGGGAGGCAGCAGUGAGGAAUAUUGGUCAAUGGACGAGAGUCUGAACCAGCCAAGUAGCGUGAAGGAUGACUGCCCUAUGGGUUGUAAACUUCUUUUAUACGGGAAUAAAGUGAGGCACGUGUGCCUUUUUGUAUGUACCGUAUGAAUAAGGAUCGGCUAACUCCGUGCCAGCAGCCGCGGUAAUACGGAGGAUCCGAGCGUUAUCCGGAUUUAUUGGGUUUAAAGGGAGCGUAGGCGGACGCUUAAGUCAGUUGUGAAAGUUUGCGGCUCAACCGUAAAAUUGCAGUUGAUACUGGGUGUCUUGAGUACAGUAGAGGCAGGCGGAAUUCGUGGUGUAGCGGUGAAAUGCUUAGAUAUCACGAAGAACUCCGAUUGCGAAGGCAGCUUGCUGGACUGUAACUGACGCUGAUGCUCGAAAGUGUGGGUAUCAAACAGGAUUAGAUACCCUGGUAGUCCACACAGUAAACGAUGAAUACUCGCUGUUUGCGAUAUACAGUAAGCGGCCAAGCGAAAGCGUUAAGUAUUCCACCUGGGGAGUACGCCGGCAACGGUGAAACUCAAAGGAAUUGACGGGGGCCCGCACAAGCGGAGGAACAUGUGGUUUAAUUC
Molecule: ribosomal RNA, 911 nt
Filed under: uncultured bacterium
Lineage: Bacteria
Description: bacterial SSU rRNA
Rfam family: Bacterial small subunit ribosomal RNA
Source: RNAcentral